AACGCGAAGAACCUUACCUGGGCUCGAACGGCUUUGGAACAUCCUUGGAAACAGGGACUUCCCGCAAGGGACCGGAGUCGAGGUGCUGCAUGGCUGUCGUCAGCUCGUGUCGUGAGAUGUUGGGUUAAGUCCCGCAACGAGCGCAACCCUUGUCCUGUGUUGGCAUGCCGCAAGGCGCAACUCGCAGGAGACCGCCAGCGAUAAGCUGGAGGAAGGUGGGGAUGACGUCAAGUCCUCAUGGCCUUUAUGUCCAGGGCUACACACGUGCUACAAUGGCCGGUACAAUGCGCCGCUAAGUCGCAAGACGGAGCCAAUCGCAAAGAACCGGUCUCAGUUCGGAUUGCAGGCUGCAACUCGCCUGCAUGAAGCUGGAAUCGCUAGUAAUGGCAGAUCAGAACGCUGCCGUGAAUACGUUCCCGGGCCUUGUACACACCGACGCGUA
RNAcentral lists this ribosomal RNA (442 nucleotides) under uncultured bacterium. Its description in RNAcentral is "bacterial SSU rRNA". It matches the Rfam family "Bacterial small subunit ribosomal RNA", at positions 958 to 1399 of the family's 1533-position model. The record is from RNAcentral.